This 386-nucleotide ribosomal RNA is filed under the name uncultured bacterium. RNAcentral's name for it is "bacterial SSU rRNA". It matches the Rfam family "Bacterial small subunit ribosomal RNA", at positions 30 to 418 of the family's 1533-position model. The record is from RNAcentral.
AUUGAACGCUGGCGGCAUGCCUUACACAUGCAAGUCGAACGGCAGCGGACCUUCGGGUGCCGGCGAGUGGCGAACGGGUGAGUAAUAUAUCGGAACGUACCUUUCAGUGGGGGAUAACGUAGCGAAAGUUACGCUAAUACCGCAUAUUCUGUGAGCAGGAAAGCAGGGGAUCGCAAGACCUUGCGCUGAUUGGGCGGCCGAUAUCAGAUUAGCUAGUUGGUGAAGUAAAGGCUCACCAAGGCGACGAUCUGUAGCGGGUCUGAGAGGAUGAUCCGCCACACUGGAACUGAGACACGGUCCAGACUCCUACGGGAGGCAGCAGUGGGGAAUUUUGGACAAUGGGCGCAAGCCUGAUCCAGCCAUGCCGCGUGAGUGAAGAAGGCCUC